Mirounga angustirostris (Northern elephant seal) is the source of this 11532-nucleotide RNA transcript. It is a transcript of the gene named histone H3.v1-like, with no coding region annotated. The record is from RefSeq and is a predicted model, not a curated record. Lineage: Eukaryota; Metazoa; Chordata; Mammalia; Carnivora; Phocidae. The transcript has 7 exons.
ACUAAGCUCAAGAGGAGGAUCUGGAUGCUUUCAGUUUCAACUAUUCACCAAUGGUGGGAAAGGCAGAAUGCCUAAGCUGUGUCCCGGUGGCCAAUAGGAUGGCUGUGUGUCUCCCACAUGACUCGCUGCCCCUGUCUUUCACAUGGGCUGUAAUUUGGUUCAAUUCAGAACUGCAGAUAGUACAGCUUUUACAGGAGCAAGGGAUGCCCGGGCACAAGUGGCUGAGUUCCGAGUGACUUUAGGAAGCGCUUUCCUGCCUCCCUCCUUCGGGAAAACGGGGGAUCCUGCACCUGUACCAGGGACAGUCUGGCAAAAGCCUGCUCUGCCUCCGGGGACAAGGAACGAGCACCAAUAACCAUUUUGAAAUUGGAUCUUGGCAAAAUUUGCAACGAGUCCAUAAAGGAAACUGAAAGCAGUUUGAUCUUCAUCUUCAAUGACAGUCCCACAAAAGUUAAAGAACUACAUUAUGUCUCCAAAGAAGAGUACAGUGGUGCCCUAAAAUUAGGACAUGAUUAAGUUCUGUAGUUUUAACCAGAACAAAAAGGAGUGCCCAGAAGAAAAGAAGGGGUUUGGGUAAUAUGCCAGUGAUGUACUUUUCAUUGUCAAGGAAUCCAUCUACACAAAAGAGGCGCGGGUGCACCAUCCAGCAGAAUGAAGCUGUCUGUAAGGAAGUUCCUCAGCUCUUCAUAAAAUAGAUUCCUGGGAAGGCAUAGUGAGAAUCAUCUGAAUUACAGCAAAGGCAACUACUUAGCGUCAAACUGGUCUGCAAACUCUGACUUCAGAGUGGUUCCAUAAAACACCAGUUAAGUAAUCCUUUACUCUUUAAUUUUUCCUGUUAACAACAGCUACAAUGACAAUAGAAAUAGUAAAUACCUCAAGAUUUCCCAGUAAGAACACUGAAUUAAGAAACUGGGAGAAUUGCUUCAGCCCAAUUCUAUCAUGAACUACUUCUCGGAUGCAAAUCAGACUGACUAUUCUUCCAGAAUCUUCCAUGCCAAAUGAUUUCCUCAUCUUUAAAUAAAAUUUCUGGAAUAGUAGAUAUCAAAAGUCCCUUGCAACUCUAAAUCUAUACAAUUGAACUGAAAAAAAAAGAAAAAUUUAGAAAAAUUAUUUAGCCAAACAAUCAUAUAUCUCAGAAACUUUGUUUUAGGUUUGCCUUUAUUGAUACUGGAAUUUUUUUAUUGUCAUCAAUUUUAAACCAUUUAUUUAUUUUCUUACUUGCUUACUUAUUUCUUUUGAAAGAGAGAGAAAGAGAAAGAGACAAUCCCAAGCAGUUCUUGGGGCUCUAUCCCAUGACCCUGAGAUCAUGACCUGAGCCAAAAUCAAGAGCUGGGUGCUUAACUGACUGAAUCACCCAGGCACCCCUUAUGCCAUUUAUUCAACAGAGACAUAGAGAGAGGAGAAAGUAUUUGCUGGUUUGCGUCAAUAAUCAGACUCAUCACUUUAAAAUGUAUAGAUAAGAUUCUUUUAAAGAGCAAACCUUCAAAGAAAAUCAAAUAGAAAAAUAUAUAUUAAAGCAGGGCAAGUAUAAGGAGGUAUAAAAACAAUGACAAUAAGAGCAAAGGGAACAAAGAUAAUCCCCAAGUUUCCAUUUUGGGUUUCAUUUCAUUUCCACACUUUGAGGAAGUCAGCAGCAGGUUAUAGUUUUUGCUGUUUUCUUCACACUUGUAAUUCCCAAUGUGGUUGAAAUCUCAUUCCAGGCUAAUUGAAAUAGGAAGGAUGAUUCAGACUCCUGAUUUCAAGCCUGGGCAUCAAACUUGAUUCACAAUGCUUUCAUUACUAACUAACUUAUAUUCUACCAAGAGCACCCCAAUAUCCAUUCCUGCAGAACCCCUAUCAGGCAUCCCUUCCUAUGGGAGAAGCAAACUUUCCAGGAAACGCACAAUCACAGCUUGGAGAAAUGCCUACAUAGUGUGCAAGCACUAACUCUCUCCUGGGACUAUGACUAAAUUCAAGUUGUACUAAAUGAUGUACUGGUAUUAUGUAUAGCAUAGCAAAGCAUGUUCACCUGAGCUCUGGGCAUAGCAUGUUUACUCGAUAAAUAUUACUUAGGGAAUUAGUAGUUAAAUUUUCAGUAGCUGCCAUGGCAUCUUUGUUAUGAGGAUUUGACUGUGUUUUCAAAAUGUUGGGCAAAUAGGAAAGGUUCUGUGGAUUUUUGAGGCUCUGGAGUACAAGGGGUACCUGAAAAGAUGCUGAAGGAGCAAUGCCCGUCCCAGUGGAAGGUAACUGUGGCUGCAUCGGCUGAAGAAGAGAACAGAAAUCACUUGGGCACCUCAGAUAAGAUCCUUUUAAUCAGGACACAGCAGAGGAAGAAUAAAUUAAUGAGAGAAGAUGAUUUUGCACAUAUUGUUGUAUUUUACAUCUUGGCUAUAAAAAUAGAGAUAAAUUAAUUUUAUCAAGUAUUUAGACUUUGUUAAAAUAAGAGCUAUAUCCCAAGUAUAAGUUGAUUAUGAACCCCUAUUUUUCAGCAAAACAAUCUUCAAGAUGUGUUUGAACCACCUUAAAUAUAAAAAAAAAUUAAGUGACUAAAAAGGAUCUAUUAAAAUAUGUAAUUUAUUUUUUAAAAUCACAUAUUCUAUGUUCUCAAGAAACACUUAUUAACAUUCUAAGAUAUAGAUUUUCUGUAGACAAAUUUGGGAAAUGUCUCUCUAGAGGCAUGUCUUCUGCCUGGGGUAGACUAUGGGUCUCCAGUGAACUGUUAAGUGCCCAUAAGACACACCGGCCCAGCACCUUCACAUGUCUUAUUAUUAAACCUCACAAUUUACAAAACAAAAAAGGAUCAUGGUAAAGCCUUGAAAAGAGACAAAGCCUGCAUGGUAAUUAUUUUCUACUAUCUUAAAACAUUUAAUAUUUUAAAUUAGGGUAGGAUUUCAAUACAGUAGACUGAGCACAGACCUUAAAUGGUGUUGGAACAACUAGAUUCACAUGCAAAACAAUGAAUCCAGACACAGACCUUACACCCUUCACAAAAAUUAACUUAAACUGCAUCACAGGCCUCAAUGUAAAAUGAAAAUUAUUAAACACCUAGAAGAUAACAAAGGAGAUAAUCUAGAUGAACUUGGGCUUGGUAAUGACAUUUUAGAUACAACACAGAGUCUUGAUCCAUGGAAGAAAGAAUUGAAAAGCUGGGCUUCAUGAAAAUCGAAAAUUUCAUGAAAAUUAAAAAUUUCUGCCCUUCAAAAUUCACUGUCAAGUAAAGAUAAGCCACAGACUGGGAGAAAAUAAUUGCAAAAAACAUAUCUGAUAAGAAUUGUUAUCCAAAAUAAACAAAGAACUUAAAAAUCAACUAUAAGAAAAAAGACAAACAUUAAACAAUAGGCCUCACAGAAGAGAUUUAUGGAUGACAGAUAAACACAUGAAAAGAUGCUCCACAGCAUGUCGUCAGGGAAAUGCAAAUUAAAACAAUAAUGAUAUAUCACUUCGUACCUAUCAGAGUGGCCAAACGCCAGAACACUGACAGCACCAAAUGUUGGCAAGGACAUGGAGCAACAGGAACUCUUAUUCAUUGCUGGUGGGUAUGAAACAUGGUACAGCUACUUUGGAAUACAGUUUGGCAGUUUCUUACAAAACUAAACAUAUUUUUCCCAUACAAUCCAGCAAUCAGUUUCCUUGGUAUCACCAAAGAAAUUAAAAAUUUAAUACCACACAAAAACCUGCACAUGGAUUAUAGCAGCUUUAAUUGCCAAAACUUGGAAGCAACCUCAAGGAAGUAAGUGAAUAAAUAAACUGUGGCAAAUCCAGACAAUGGAAUAUUAUUCAGCACUAAAAAUGAAUGAGCUAUCAAGCCAUGAAAAGACACAGAGGAGCCUAAAAUCCAUAUAAGUGAAAGAAGACAAUCUGGGUGAAUAGGUAGAGCAUGGAGGAUUUUCAGGGCAGUGAAAAUACUUUGCAUUAUAAUUAUGGAUACAUACCAUUACACAUUUGUCCAAAGCCAUAGAAUGUGUAACACCAAGAGUGAACUGUUUAAACCAUGGACUUUGGAUGAUAAUGAUGUAUCAAUGUAGGUUCAUCAAUUUAACAAAUGCUCUACUCUGGUGGGGGAUGUUGGUAAUGAGGCAGGCUAUGCAUGGGUAGGGGCAGGGAGUAUAUGGGAUAGCUCUGUAUCUUUGCUUUGAACCUAAAACUGAUCUAAAAAAAAAAAAAAAAAGUCUUAAAGAGCAUGAGAAUUAAUGUAGCACUCAAUUUCUUAUCAACACAGGAUACCAGAAAAGAAUGGAAACAAUACCGUCAUGACAUGAGAGGAAAAAUACAUUUUUCAAUCCUAAUUUCCAAACCCAGACAAACUGUUACCAUCCUUGAUGACUUGAAAGUAACAGUAAAAUCGCUUCUCGGCCUUUUGGCUAAGAUCAAGUGAAAGUAACAGUAAACCUGCCAGAAUGUGGGAAGCAUAAGAAAAGUUAGAGAAUAGCAGUUUGGAGGCAUUUAUAUCUUCAUCUGAAGAAGUAAGGGGUUACAAUAUACUGUCAAUAAUGAUGGAAAAAGAAACAGCAGUUUCAGUAUAUUUUUUAAAGCCACAAGAUUACCAACAGAGAAGCCAUAUACUAGGAGGUUGGAGAGGAAGGAGUUAAGGAGAAUCAUAGCAAGCCAUCAAUAAAUUAUGUUAAAGGUGGAUACAUUAAUAAGUAAUUGCAUAAAGAUACCAUUUAAAAAUAUAGGAAAGACAAAAAUUUUUAAAAAUGAUGAUUUCUGAGAAGUGAAACUUGGGGAAGUUAAUACUGUUGUAUAUAUGAACCCUUCUAUACAAUUUAACCUUUUUUAAACCCUGAUUUAUGUCAUUUUAUGAAAAAAAUAUUUCUAAAAAUAGAAAAUGAAAUUGCACUAGCUUAAUCUGUGUUUGACUAGUUCUGGGUGGAGCUAACGUGUCACAUGUGUUUUAAUGACUCGUGUUCGCGUGACGCUGUUCACGGUCACUAAAGGAGCUUUUCCACCACUGACGCCUUAUUACUCUCCAUCCUGAAACUUCACAAAAUUAUUUCUGAGUUCCUGAGUCCCUGAGACAUUUCACAGGAUUCCAAUAACAAUUACAUUCUCGUUCUCUCUGACCCCUGCUGUCAGUAUCAACGAUGAAGGUUCUGGUGUCCUUUCCAAUGGUGCAAUUGCCCAAGCCACUAAUGACUUGACUCUGACUUGACAAACUGGUGCUAAACAGAUACCAUAUGGUUCUCAGGAGUAACUGGGGUGGCUGCCCCUCUUUCCCACCCCCCCACACUCAUAACUCGAGGUUUCAAAGUUUUCCCCGUAAAAAGAAAAUUCUUUCAGCUUCUGGCUACAGUUUUUCUCCACAUAAAACUCAGGGAGGGAUGGAUCUAGGGGGUCUAGCACGGGACUCUCCUGGGCAGGUCCUGUUCUGGCUGCUCUGUAUCCUGCUUCCUACUUGUAGGACGGCAAGGGUGUGGCUGGCCUCAGUCAUUUGAAAGAUGCCAGAAUCUACCAGUUCCCUCAGUUUAGAUUCUCUUUCCAGAUUGGCUUUAUUUUUUCAGACACAAGUUCUCUACACAGUAGGUGUUAUGACGGCGUAGCUACCAAAACAGACCUCUCCCAGCUUUGCAAACAGAAUGACACUAAGAGUGACUCAUAAUGUACCCAAAUUCGAAAACCCUAGGAUAGGACUCUUGCUGAAUCAGGCAAUCUAGGCCAAUCAACCAUCACCAUCUGAGUGGCUAAGGAGGCAGUCACGUAAGUCCAUGACAGUUACAACAGAAAGCCUAUAAUCAACAGUGUGGGGAAGAUCAUUUUCCAGAAGGAUGGGAGGGAGGGGGCAGUGUUAGUUCUCUGCACACGAGACGAUACACUGAGGUACAGGAAAUAUCCCGGUUGCAAUCUCCUAUAGUGACCAAUUAGAGAAUACAAUUUGAAUGGUUUAUAAAUUGAGUGCUUUUAGGAUAUGACCUUCCUCACAGAUAGCAGAUAUGUGUGUUCAGAUGGUGUAAUUUGAGAUUGGCAAAAUCAGAACUAUAUUCAUUCUCAAUCUUAUCCUGGAGCCUAAAUUUUCCACAGCUAUUUUGUGUUUGGUUUAGGUAAAGGCUCUUUUCAAAUGUAAUAAAGGGUAAGUGCAAAGUAGGGGAAUUAUACAUUAUCCCAUUAUAAAUAUUAAUAACUUCCCUCAUAUUGGUUUCUCAGAUUAGCUAUAUAGUCAAGGAAAGGCUUGGAUGGAAUGAGUUAUAUAGCAAGAGUUUUAAUGCCUAUUUUUGUGAUGUGAUGCCUAGGGAAAAUAUCAAAGUAUGAAGUCCUAUAAAAAACAAAGCUAUUAUCCUUAGCAAGAAGUAACUCAGAAAACAUGAAGCAUGUGGUAGGGCUCAGGAGGAACAGGACUGUUCCCACAUGCACAUACUGGUUAAAUGUCAGUCUUUCGAAUUAGAAUAUCAGAUUUGAAUUCCAGUGAUGAGAGCUUGAGCAAGUUCCUUCACACUUUGCUUUGGUUUCCUCACUUCUAAGCUACAAGUGCUUUUAAAACUAACCUCAUGAGGCUGUGGUGAAUUUAAAUAAAGGAUAUAUAGAAAACACAGAGUGGUGCCUAGCAUAUAAUAAGACUUGAAAAGUAUUAGCUAUUACUAUUAGCAGGAGUCAGCUGCUCUGAAGCAGAAAUGGUGAAAGGAAAAGGGAGGCAAAGAAUUCGAGAGUCUGAGAGGCACCGACGGUGAUGUUUUCCUACAGCAUUCCAUUACUGUGGCAAGCCCUAGUGACUAUAGAAUUGGGCUGGGCACUCUGGUGCCCAGAGCUUCCCAUACAGGUUUUGAGAUGGACUUCUGAGGUUUCUGCCAUGCUGAGGGGGCGAUGCUUUAUUAGACAGUAUAAUGCAGAGGUCAUAGUUUCGCGUAAAUUGGAUACUUUCCUGAGUUUACUCAAUAGCUGCUUUUAACAAAAAUCUAAACAUGGAUGUUACUUAGCCAGUCAGUAAGAAUGUUGUAUGUAUCUUUCAAAAGAAAAAAAAAAAGUGUAGGGUUUCCCUACUUCUCCAUCAAGUUGAUAAGAAAGUAGACACACACACACACACACACACACACACCCUGGAUUUGGGAUCCUAAGAUUGAACUGAGUUUCAGCCCAACUAUUAAUAGCCAUGAUAUUGCAUGAGUCACAGAACCUUUCGGUCCUCAGUUGUUUUUUUUUUUUUCUAUUGGUAAAAUAACGAAUUGGAUUAGUAAAAAUUGUUUGUGAGGUUCGUUAGGAAAAGAAAAAAAAAACCUUGCCAGGCAGCCUGGUGUAUAAAACAGAUAUCAGUGAUGCUUUUUUGGUUAAAAUGGAAGAGAGGUCAUAGAGACCUGAAGAUUCAGAUCUCCUCAAGCCCUUUCUGUUUCUAGUCAAGUAUUUCAACUAGAUUACCCACUUCUCUGAAGUCGAGUCCAGUUAGUGUACCACAGCAGUUUUUUACCAUAUCUUUCACCUUUUCUGUUUUCUACUAUAUAUUUUGUCUCCUCUCCACUUUAAGGGUUCUUAAAAUAUAUUUUUAAAUGUGUCUUAGUUGAUUUUAAAUAGAAUAAUCGGUAAGCCAUGAUAAGAAACCAUUUUAAAGUAUGAUAAAAGUACACAAAGAGUUCAUAUUAAGUAAUCAUCAAUGGGUCACUCUCAAUAAUCAGUGAAUUGCCCUCAGUUUUCUGGCCUCAAUUUGGUUUGAGUUUCUUGUUGAAGACAAGAAAACACUUCUCUCUUGUAACUCAUGUUUGUAUCUUUUUUAAAUGCGUAUAACAAAUAUAGCUUAUACUCUAGGAUUCUAGUGCUUGGAGAAAACUACCUGGAUUUGAAGUCAAACAGCUGGUUUUUAAAUCCAAUUUCUACUACCUACUAGUUUUACAAAAUUUAAUAUAAUUGUGAAACUUUUUGAGCCACAUGUAGCUAGUGUUCUUCAUUGCAUUCAGGUUACUUUGAGAACACCAUACUUCCCUGCUCAUCUUCAUGGUUUAACCUCCUAUCUCCUUCCAGCCUUCUUUGAUGAUUCCUCUGCUUUCUCACCUCUUGUCCUUUUAGGCCCCUAGGGCCCAGAUCUUGGUCAUAUGCUUUAUUUGUGGGAUUCACUUGACGAUCUCAACUAGACUGAAGACUUUGAACAGUAUCUAUAUCCCAGUGGCUCCCAGAAUUCAUCUCUAGCCCAGCCCUGUUCCUCAUUCCAGACGUGUAUAUCCAACUGCAUCCGUGGAAUUUCCAAUGUAAUUUUCAGUACUUUUAACAUGUCCAAAACCAAAGUCCUUGAUUUUUACCUCUAAAUCUCUUCCUUGUACAAGUUUUCCCAUCUCAAUUCAAACAACUAUGUCAUGAUAAUGGUUUAGGUCAAAACUUUAGAGUCAACCUUGAUGCCACUUUUCACCCUUAAAAUCAAGUCAGGCAUGAAAUUCUAUCGGCGAUUCCUUACAAAGGUUACCAUGCUGGUCAGGGCCACCCUCAUUUCUGCAUGAAUCGUUAUGAUAGCUUCUAAUCUCAUCUCUCUGGCUCCCUGUUUCCUUUGGCUACCUAGCUAUAGUCUUCUCUUUAUAAGGUAAAGAGAGGAAUCUUUUUGAAAUGUAAAUCUGAUUAUAUCACUCCUCUCCUUAAAAGUCAGCAACUGUGCCCCAUUUUACUCAGAAAAAAAGUCCCUGUAAUGACCGACAAGACCCUACAUGGCACGCUGACUUCAUCUCCCAUUGUUCUUCACCUUGUUUACUUCCCUCCAGCCAUACUGGGCAUCGUGCUAUUAUGCUUACAGGACAGUUACACUUUUGACUUAAGAUCUCUUGUGAGCUAUGCCCAGUGCCUGUAGAAACUUCCCACAGAUAAUCUUAUAGCUGACUUCUUUAUCUUUUUCAAGGCUUUGACCAAAUAUCACCUUCUCAAUGAGCCUAUUCUGAUCAUGCUAUUUUAUUAGGCAAACUAUUCUCUACCUUCCAAAUCCCCUUUACUUAUAUUUUUCUUUGUUCCAUACAUUUGGCCCUUCUUAAUAUAUUACAUAAGUUAUAUGUAUAUUACAUAUGCUUAUUUAAUAUUUUCUCUCUUCCACCACUAGAAUGUAAGCUCCUUGAGUGCAAAGAUAUUUACUUUCUUCACUGAUACACACUAACUUGAGUAGUGUUUGGUGCAUAGCAGGAAAUAAAUAAAAUCUUGGUUGACUGAACAAAUGAAUAAAUAAAUACAUACAUACAUACAUAUUUUGCUGUGAUUUUGUGAGGCUUAAAUAAAAUAAUGUAUCUCACAGCACCUAUCACAGUCCCUGGUACAGAGAAAACACUAAUACAUAUUUUUGUUCUUAAUCAAUUUGUUCAGAAUAAAUUCUGGGGUCAUUGCAACAUUGAAACUACUAUUUUCAUCGUGUAGAAUAAGUUCCCUAUAUGAAGAUUUAUAUGAAUCCUGAAAAUGAUUGUGUUUUAAUGAAGAAAUUUAAUUUGAGGGAUUUUUGUUUAUAAAAUCUCAUGCUUAUUUACACAGUGAUAAAAUUUUUGUUGUAAAAAUAUUUUUCAUGAGCAUUUUCUCAAAGCAAUAGUGAUUGUACUAUAAUUUUUCUGCCUGGGAUUGAAUAGCACAUCCUUUUAGUUAUCUUGCAGGCUGUCUUUAUCUGAACUUAUUUAAAAGACAAUGUCUCUAAAAAAAAUCACCACACUUUAUUUUGAAGAUUUUGAAGAAGUAACUGUCACAUUUCUUACAUGUAUUUCAUUUAGAGACUAACAAAGGAAAGAAUUUCACAUUUUGCUGAUUUGAAAAAAGAAAAGAUUUUCUUAAUGUCAAGCCAACUAUUCAAUCCCUCAAUGUUUAUGACAGGUGAGGCUUGUCAGAUCAUACUUCUGGAGUUUGCAGGCCUUUGGUUUCCCACUUGGGAUAAAGGGGAUAAAGAACAAUUUGAAAAUUCCUCUGUGUAGGUGAUCCCAGAAUGGGGAUAGUCUGUGUCAUUUGCAGCAUCUCGGGCAUGUUUGUAAGUGCUUGACAGGGUGCUAGGUGCCCCUCUCCCAGAAGCUGGCUUACAAGAGGGACUGGGGAAACCUCAUGGGUAGAAAAAUAUGGUAAAGGAAAGGCCACUCUACCAGAGCCUCUGCUGUGAUGAAAGAAUCUAAUUUUAUGUCUGUCAGUUUCUUUCUCUUCCCUGGCCUAUGCAAGACUUUUCAGAAGGAAUCCAGUUCCAAUGUUUAUUUUAGGUAUUAACAUAAUAUGGCUAGGGCAGAUAAAAGAUGUAAAUCUUUGCUGUUGCAAUAAAAAGACACACACACAAAGCAACUCACUAUGGGUUUUCUAUUGUUAUUGAUAUUUAGAGUUGAUAGCACAGAUGAAAUCAACAUGUGGAAAACAAGAUUCUGAUCUACAACACCUUAUAAAAAUAAAAAGACUAUUUAUCAUCCAUUUAAAGGGUAGUGUGUUAACAGGCUCCAGUGUGAGUCCCGCCUGAGCAUGGGGUAGAAGGUUUACAGCGGUGUCGCUUCCAGCUACCAGCAGGUGCUGGUCUGGAUGUCAGUCUAAAGACCCGAUUCAUUAAGUUCUGCCACUCCAGGACUGUACUCUUUAUGAUAAGAAAAACAAGAAGGAACAGUGAGUCUCUUAUAUUUAACCCAUAAAACUUAACACUCUGACCUCAACCAGAAGUGAAAGAGGCAAUUGCAAAUCUGACCAAUAAAACUGGUAAAGCACUUACAUGCUGGGAUUAAAAGACUGUAUGUCUAGGUACAUGAGGAAAAGAACAAUUUGCAAAUUCCUCUGUGUAGGUGAUCCCAGAACCAGCAUAGUCUGUGGUCUUAGCAGCAUUUCAGGCAUGUUUGUGAAUUCUUGGUUGGCUGCCAUGUGGCACCCCCAGGAGCUGGUUUACAUGAGGGACUGGGGAAACCUCUUGUGUAGAAAGACAUGUUAAGGAAGAGGUCCCACCAAAGGGCCCCACCAAGCCUCUGUUGUGAGGAGAAGUAGGAUAUCAUGUCUGUCAGUUUUCUUCUCCAUGUCAGGAGACCCAUAUAUGGAUCUAAAAGACCCACAUGUUUUCUAGAAAGAAAGAGGCCUCCAAGUAGAAAUGAGAGAACUAUUUUAUCGUGAAGUGCAAACACAGGUCAUAAGGCAGUGCUACAGGGGACAUGAUAGAGGACCAGGGUAUAGAGAGGGAUUUUCCAGGUCUCUGGCAAACAUGAGGCUUUGGUGCACGAGGUCAGCUUGCACUGCUCCACUUAGACACUGGUGGGACUGAUCGUGAGUUUCUUUACAUGGAAGAAAACAAACAAAUCAAAAAAUCUACUAUUUCUAGUGUUUUGCUGUAUACAGGGCUAGAAUAAAGUUUUUGAAAAAAAAAAAAACCCUUUCUAUAUUCUACUGGAGGUGAGGUAGCGGGGAAGGAGACCAUUAUUGAGAAUGAGGACUUGGCUGGUGGGUCUUUUGCUGAAGAAAGCUCCAGAAUGUGUGCCUGGGUAAAUCUGGAUAAUUUGGGUAGGUGACAAACUGUAACCUUGACUUCUAAAGAAGUCAUAGAUAGUUAGAGCAUGGAAGAAGGAAGAAAAGGUCUUUAUGAAGAAGAACUGACCCUGAGAAAAUGGUCAUGAACCAAGUACUAGGAUUUGACCAGGAAGAAAGUUUAGUACUGUCUCAUAUUUAUUUAAACUA